Molecule: ribosomal RNA, 888 nt
Filed under: Triticum aestivum (bread wheat)
Lineage: Eukaryota; Viridiplantae; Streptophyta; Magnoliopsida; Poales; Poaceae
Description: partial small subunit ribosomal RNA
Source: RNAcentral
AUGCCGCCGCCGUCGUCGCCAAAGACCCGCAGUUCCUCUGUGCCAAAGUGGACAAAACACUGGUCCCCGUCGUCGCCGGGCUCGCCAGCCUCGGUCUCUCGCGUCCUGAGAUCGCCCGCCUCGUCUCGCUCGCCCACAGCGGCUUCCGCUCUAGAUCCAUCAUCUCCAAGAUGCACUACUACCUGCCCCUCUUCAGCUCCUGCCACAACUUCCUCCGGGCGCUCCAGCGCUCGUCCUACCUUCUCUCGUCGGACCUUGACAAGGUUGUCAAAGCCCAAUGUCAUGUUCCUGCACGAGUGCGGGCUAGGUGCUUGUGAUAUUGCCAAGUUGUGUAUCCGUGUGCCGAGGAUGCUGACCACCAACCCGGAGCGCGUACGCACGAUGGUGGCAUGUGCCGAAGGUCUAGGUGUGCCCCGUAGCUCAGGUAUGUUCCGGAAAGCAUUGCACGCUGUCGCAUGCAUUAGCGAUGAAAAGAUCACUGCGAAAGUAGACUACUUGAAGAAGACGUUAAGGUGGUCUGAUGCGGAAGCGAGCAUUGCUGUGCGCAAGCAUCCGGGUGUGCUGAGAAAGUCAAAGGAAUCUCUGAAGAGCAGGUCCAAGUUCUUGUUAUAUGAGGUGGGAUUGGAACCUGUGUACAUUGCUCAUCGACCCACAUUUCUUAGUCUUAGCCUGGAGGGGCGGCUCAGACCCUGGCACUAUGUUGUCAAGUUUCUCAAGGAAAAUGGAUUUGUAGAUCGCGACCUGAGCUUCUAUAGUGUAGUCAUGAGGCCCGAGAAGUAUUUCAUGGAGAAAUACAUAUGCCCUCACAAGAAAGCAGCACCACACCUCGCUGAGGAUUAUGCAACUGCUUGCAAAGGGGAAGUGCCGGCUAAUUUCAAAUUUACAUGA